CAGUCGCCGCGGUAAUACGUAGGUCCCGAGCGUUGUCCGGAUUUAUUGGGCGUAAAGCGAGCGCAGGCGGUUAGAUAAGUCUGAAGUUAAAGGCUGUGGCUUAACCAUAGUACGCUUUGGAAACUGUUUAACUUGAGUGCAAGAGGGGAGAGUGGAAUUCCAUGUGUAGCGGUGAAAUGCGUAGAUAUAUGGAGGAACACCGGUGGCGAAAGCGGCUCUCUGGCUUGUAACUGACGCUGAGGCUCGAAAGCGUGGGGAGCAAACAGGAUUAGAUACCCGCGUAGUCCCUGUCUCUUAUACU
RNAcentral lists this ribosomal RNA (301 nucleotides) under uncultured bacterium. Its description in RNAcentral is "partial 16S ribosomal RNA". It matches the Rfam family "Bacterial small subunit ribosomal RNA", at positions 509 to 810 of the family's 1533-position model. The record is from RNAcentral.